GGUAAAGUCNCGGUNCCGAUAGUUGACUUACCCUUAUUAUUCACUAUGCUGCAGAUUUGGCAUUUGGUGUCUGAUUGACUAUUGUGAUACCUUUCCGGAAGCGUAACGGCACUACGAGUCAAACUCAUGGCUCAUGCCAUGAUGUAUAGGUCUUUUUUUGGCCAUCCGAGUCCGUUUAGGGCUUCAAAAUGUAGUUUUCUUAUUUUCGAUUAGAGUUGACCGUUUCGAUCGAGCCCUUAACGUUGUCGAAUCCAGUUGAAUUUUUUAUCAUAGACAUCUUUCAUCAUAAUGAUCAUAUCUGACAGUCGAAUUUUAGUUUGUGAAUUUUAGUCAUCGGAAUCACAACGUGUCUACUAUUUACCGUUAUUCGGGUUUAUGGGAAGCCCUAUCGUCGGAAGGUAAAUGUCUCAAAAUUUUUAUAUGGGCAGUUGCGUCUCAUCUACGUGAGAGUUUUUUGUGUGGAAGGUUUGACCAAACUACGUAAUAUAGAGGGAGAUAUGAGCGCUUUUGUGUGAUAAGUGACGAUAGAUUAUGGUUGACCGUUUCGAUCGAGCCCUUAACUUUGUCGGAUCCAGUUGAAUUUUUUACCAUAGACAUAUUUCGUCAUAAUGAUCAUAUCUAACGGUCGAAUUUUGGUUUGUGAAUUUUAGUCAUCGGAAUCACAACAUGUCUACUAAUGUUGUAUAACUUGUUUAGUAGGUUAUACAACUUUGUGAACCAACUCUACAUAGGAAGCAAAAUUAUUAAAAAUCUUGUGAAAUAAGAUGUGUUCAGAAUGGUGAAAUACGGCUAUGGUUCAAAAAUCACGUAAAUCGGGUAAAGUCUCGGAGCCGAUAGUAGCGGUCAACUCUAUUUACCGUUAUUAUUCCUUAUGGGGAGCCCUAUCGUCGGAAGGUAAAUGUCUCAAAAUUUUUAUAUAGACGGUUGCGUCUCAUCUACGUGAGAGUUUUUCGUGUAGAAGAUUUGACCAAACUACGCAAUAUAGGGCGAGAUAUGAGCGUUUUCGUGAAUUUAUAGACUUUAGCCGACGAAAAUAU
This 1037-nucleotide long non-coding RNA is filed under the name Fragaria vesca (wild strawberry). RNAcentral describes it as "long non-coding RNA (FVES_LNC004804)". The record is from RNAcentral. Lineage: Eukaryota; Viridiplantae; Streptophyta; Magnoliopsida; Rosales; Rosaceae.